Molecule: non-coding RNA, 114 nt
Organism: Acanthosepion pharaonis
Lineage: Eukaryota; Metazoa; Mollusca; Cephalopoda; Sepiida; Sepiidae
Source: the annotation of a GenBank genome assembly
UAUGGCCAUUAUCACAUUGAAACAAUGGUUCGCAUAUGAUCACCAAAGUUAAGCAACAUCGAGCCUGAUCAAUACCUAGAUAGGUGACCGCUUGUGAAUACCAGGUGCUGUAAU